CUCUAUUCGGGAAUCAUCGUGUGCCGUUCGGAUAGCUCCGUAGUAAUGCAAUAAAACUUAGUCAGUGCGUGUGCGUCCGACGGAAACAUUAUUUGGAGGUUAUUUUUUGAUGAAACUGAUAACAUAGUAAAAUGUCACAACGAGAAACAAAGCCGAUUUGGCAGUACUUUGAUAAAAGUAUCAGUGAUACAUCAAAAGCUGUUUGCAAGUAUUUAUUGUAUUAAAUAAAUGAUUACAAUACCUACAACAAACUGAAUUAA
Molecule: long non-coding RNA, 260 nt
Organism: Helicoverpa armigera (cotton bollworm)
Lineage: Eukaryota; Metazoa; Arthropoda; Insecta; Lepidoptera; Noctuidae
Exons: 2
Source: RefSeq, a predicted model, not a curated record